This 377-nucleotide ribosomal RNA is filed under the name uncultured bacterium. RNAcentral's name for it is "bacterial SSU rRNA". It matches the Rfam family "Bacterial small subunit ribosomal RNA", at positions 524 to 898 of the family's 1533-position model. The record is from RNAcentral.
UACAGAGGUCUCAAGCGUUGUACGGAUUCAUUGGGCGUAAAGGGUGCGUAGGUGGCGAUGUAAGUCUGGUGUGAAAUCUCGGAGCUUAACUUCGAAAUUGCAUUGGAUACUGCGUUGCUUGAGGAUUGUAGAGGAGAGUGGAAUUCACGGUGUAGCAGUGAAAUGCGUAGAUAUCGUGAGGAAGACCAGUUGCGAAGGCGACUCUCUGGGCAAUUCCUGACACUGAGGCACGAAGGCCAGGGGAGCAAACGGGAUUAGAUACCCCGGUAGUCCUGGCAGUAAACGGUGCACGUUUGGUGUGGGCAGGUUCAGACCCUGUCCGUGCCGGAGCUAACGCGUUAAACGUGCCGCCUGGGAAGUACGGUCGCAAGAUUAAA